UAUUGCAGCUAUUACGGUAAUUUGGAUUGGAAGGGCGUCUAGCCUGGAAACGGGCUAGAUGAUGACUGGGUGAAUUGCUGGGAAGCCCUAAAGCCUUCCUUGCCACAACGAAGCUGGAAACGGCAGGCGUGAAGGUGCAAAAAAAGGAAGGAUGCAACAAUGGGCAAUCAGCAGCCAAGCUCCUGUCUCGAAAGAGUGGAGAAGGUUCAACGACUAGGGCGUACCACCUAAGGCCAUUGGCUAUGGUGAUGAGGUCCGUAGGGGAGGCGGAUGCCGAACCGAAGUGCCCGGCCCCUCACUAGCGAUUAGCUGGCGGGUGAAGAGAUAGUCUACACAACGGUCGAAAGACGUUG
This is an intron RNA of Anoxybacillus sp. B7M1, 353 nucleotides long. It matches the Rfam family "Group I catalytic intron". Rfam says of the family: Group I catalytic introns are large self-splicing ribozymes. They catalyse their own excision from mRNA, tRNA and rRNA precursors in a wide range of organisms. The core secondary structure consists of 9 paired regions (P1-P9). The record is from Rfam. NCBI's taxonomy places the organism in Bacteria, Bacillati, Bacillota, Bacilli, Caryophanales, Anoxybacillaceae.